UAGGGAAUCUUCGGCAAUGGGGGGCGAACCCUGACCGAGCAACGCCGCGUGAGUGAAGAAGGUCUUCGGAUCGUAAAACUCUGUUGUUAGAGAAGAACACGAGUGAGAGUAACUGUUCUUGUAUUGACGGUAUCUAACCAGAAAGCCACGGCUAACUACGUGCCAG
This 166-nucleotide ribosomal RNA is filed under the name uncultured bacterium. Its description in RNAcentral is "partial 16S rRNA". It matches the Rfam family "Bacterial small subunit ribosomal RNA", at positions 355 to 511 of the family's 1533-position model. The record is from RNAcentral.